UGCCCAGACUCCUACGGGAGGCAGCAGUAGGGAAUAUUGCUCAAUGGGGGAAACCCUGAUGCAGCAACGCCGCGUGGGUGAAGGAGCGUUUCGGCGCGUAAAGCCCUGUCAGCGGGGAAGAAGAAAGACGGUACCCGACCAAGAAGCCCCGGCUAACUCCGUGCCAGCAGCCGCGGUAAUACGGAGGAUGCGAGCGUUAUCCGGAUUUAUUGGGUUUAAAGGGUGCGUAGGCGGACUGUUAAGUCAGCGGUAAAAGCCGGGGGCUCACCCCCGGCGAGCCGUUGAAACUGGCUGUCUUGAGAUGUCGAGAGGUAUGCGGAAUGCGCAGUGUAGCGGUGAAAUGCUUAGAUAUUGCGCAGAACUCCGAUUGCGAAGGCAGCAUACCGGCGGCGAUCUGACGCUGAGGCACGAAAGCGUGGGUAUCGAACAGGAUUAGAUACCCUAGUACU
This 449-nucleotide ribosomal RNA is filed under the name uncultured bacterium. RNAcentral's name for it is "bacterial SSU rRNA". It matches the Rfam family "Bacterial small subunit ribosomal RNA", at positions 328 to 794 of the family's 1533-position model. The record is from RNAcentral.